RNAcentral lists this ribosomal RNA (954 nucleotides) under Triticum aestivum (bread wheat). RNAcentral's name for it is "partial small subunit ribosomal RNA". Lineage: Eukaryota; Viridiplantae; Streptophyta; Magnoliopsida; Poales; Poaceae. The record is from RNAcentral.
AUGAGUUCCUGCCUUUCCCAUAUUAUUAGAGAUCAUUCCCUUGACUUUGUUUGUCUGCAAGAGACUCAUAAGAAGAAGUUUCAGGAUGGUUAUUUUAGGAAAAUUGACCCUUGUACUGCUUUUGAUUGGGAGUGGAUCCCAUCUAUGGGAAAAUCCGGGGGAAUACUGUGUGGAGUUAGAAGAGAGAGAUUUGAAGUGGUUGCUUGGAGGAAAGGCAAAUUUAUCCUCCAAGUUAAUGUAUAUGAUGUCAAUAUUAAGAAAAUUUGGACCCUAUGCAAUGUAUAUGGAGCAGCCCAUGAUAAGGACAACCAGGAAUUCCUCGUUGAAUUAGCUGACUUUUGCGCUCAUGUACAAAACCCCUUGUUAAUUGGGGGUGAUUUUAAUAUUCUUAGGCAUGAGGAAGAGAAAAAUAAAAACUGGCACCGCUCCCCUUACACAGAUAUGUUCAAUUCUGUGAUUAACGCGAUGUGCCUUAGUGAAAUUCACAUGAAUGGGGGGAUGUAUACUUGGACUAACAAUCAAGUCCAUCCGACCCUGGAAAAGCUAGAUAGAAUCCUUAUGAGCAGUGAUUGGGAGGACCUUUUUCCUCAAGUUAAUGUUAGGAAAAUUGUUAGAGACAUUUCUGACCAUAAUGCUCUUUUGAUGUCCUCUGAUAACCAUGUUGUCAGAGUCCCACAGCAAAAAGAGUUUAGGUUUGAAAUUAGUUGGCUCAAAUCUGAAGAAUUCCUACCUUUGGUAGAAAAGAUUUGGAACCAACAUGUUAAAGCUACAGACCCCAUUGAUGUGUUAAACAUCAAACUGAAACGCUUCAAAAAGUUCUUCAAAGGCUGGGGUUCUAAUAAGUUUGGGCAUGAGAAGAUUCGAAAGAGAAACAUCAGAGAUGAGUUGGCAAAAAUUGAGAAAGAAGAAGAGGGGUGGUAUGGUAGACCCAGCUAUGUUCUGCAGGAAAACUGA